UUUAAUUGAGUUUAGCCAUAUAGAAAGAACAUUUGAUUUGGAUUGAAAUUGUGAUGAACAUGAAGAAAGAGCCUACUAAAAAGCACAACCUAAUCCUUCAUUAAUUUCACAAUGUCAUCAAAUACACAACACGUUGUGAUGAAUAAGAUACAAACUCAUAGAUUGAUGGUAGAGAUAACCUUUAUAUUUGUGGAAAAGCCUCCAUUGCUCUCCAUCAUACACUACCU
Molecule: long non-coding RNA, 227 nt
Filed under: Physcomitrium patens
Lineage: Eukaryota; Viridiplantae; Streptophyta; Bryopsida; Funariales; Funariaceae
Description: long non-coding RNA (PPAT_LNC001751)
Source: RNAcentral